Molecule: ribosomal RNA, 460 nt
Filed under: uncultured bacterium
Lineage: Bacteria
Description: partial 16S ribosomal RNA
Rfam family: Bacterial small subunit ribosomal RNA
Source: RNAcentral
CCUACGGGUGGCAGCAGUGAGGAAUAUUGGUCAAUGGACGAGAGUCUGAACCAGCCAAGUAGCGUGAAGGAUGACUGCCCUAUGGGUUGUAAACUUCUUUUAUAUGGGAAUAAAAUGUUCCACGUGUGGGAUUUUGUAUGUACCAUAUGAAUAAGGAUCGGCUAACUCCGUGCCAGCAGCCGCGGUAAUACGGAGGAUCCGAGCGUUAUCCGGCUUUAUUGGGUUUAAAGGGUGCGUAGGUGGAUUGUUAAGUCAGUUGUGAAAGUGUUCGGCUCAACCGUAAAAUUGCAGUUGAAACUGGCAGUCGUGAGUACGUUAGAGGUGGGCGGAAUUCGUGGUGUAGCGGUGAAAUGCUUAGAGAUCACGAAGAACUCCGAUUGCGAAGGCAGCUCACUGGACUGCAACUGACACUGAGGCUCGAAAGUGUGGGUAUCAAACAGGAUUAGAUACCCCUGUAGUC